ACACCCCAAGACCUAUACACAGUGUACAUAACAGCUAAAAUGUACUGAGCAGUUAUGUUCUGUUAAGCAUUUUAUAUAUGCAUUUGAUCUUCACAACCACCAUGUGAAAUUAUGAGAGAAUUGUUUUUAUUUUUGCCUGCAGGCAUCCAUCUCCCUCACCCUCCAUCAACCACCCUGUAAUUUCACCUUGGUACUAGUCCUGCAGAAGUAUCUGGGGACCUGCUCUGUGUAUGGCAAAGGGCUGAACACAUAUCCUAUGACAGUCCAAUUGGACACCUUCUCUGGAACUUGAAUCUUGAAUAGACGACUGAGAAAAACUUAGCAACCAUUUGCUCAUGUUCAUCUAGGUGGUGUUCUCCUGAGAAGACUUCCAUAGAUUUGUUACCUGCCUCUGAUGAGCAGCUUUGGGACCUGCUCUAUCCCAUGCUGGUUUCUUCAGAUGCUCCUCUGAAUCUGUAAGAUUUCUCAUAUCCUUGCAAAAACAUUGUUCUUUAUAAAGUUGCCCAAGUUUGAUUUCUCCCACUUCCCACCAAAAAAUCCAUAACUAAUGUAGGAAUACAUAGAAAUAUACAAGUAUUAUUCUAUUUUGCAGAGACAAACUGAAACUUACUGAAAUGAACUGACUUGCUCAAGAUCACCCAGGCAAUAAGAAAUCAUCAGGUCUCCAUAACACUAAAGUUUUUGUCUGAUAAUAAAAUCACCAAAGAAACAUUUUAAAUUACUGUAAAGUAUAAAGAAGAUCCAGUAUCAUGAAGACAACUGAACAUCCUUCCCUGAGGAUCUAUUCUCUGCUUCUACAGAGCUUAGAAGGAUGACUCAUUUGCCCCCCAGUUACUCUUCUUAAAUAUACCUAGUAAUUCACUUGUGACUCUUAAUGAUAAGCAUAUAUGAUUGAAGUAACUCAUAUUUCCAAAGACUAUUCAAUUCAUAAAACUCUUUCACAUCCAGUAUCAGUUUUGUCCCUGUGAGGGAGACCGGGAAGGUUAGUGUCAUUAGCAUCACUGUAGAAAUGUAGACCUUGGGUUCCACAGCACAAAGCAGUGGGGAGUAAAGUCACGACUAAGACCAGGUCUUCAAUUCCUAGAUCUUUUCCUCUUCAUUAAAUUACUUUACUGAUGUUGCUAGUGUACAGAAAUAUAAAAUGAUUCCACAUGGGGUAAGAAAGUUCUGGAAUAAUGUUAAGAGACUUGAUAGCAAAUGCAAGGACUCUAUUUUUAGAAUGAGACUGAUUUACAUUUGAUGGCUUUUAAUUGCAGUCAUCCAUCAGUUUUAAACUUUAAAUGUCUAAAUAUAAAGACGCGGCAAUAUAACUGAGCCAGCUGCAUUUUUACACAGCGCAUGAAUUGAUGAGUUUAUGAAUGAGUGAAGUGAUGGAAAUCAACAGCAAGAUUAAGAAUAUCCCAACCCAUUUCAACUGCCUAAGCCAUACAUCAGUACCUUGGAGAGCUUCCAACUUUAAGUCACCCCCCCCUUCUCAAAAA
Molecule: long non-coding RNA, 1481 nt
Organism: Lontra canadensis (Northern American river otter)
Lineage: Eukaryota; Metazoa; Chordata; Mammalia; Carnivora; Mustelidae
Exons: 3
Source: RefSeq, a predicted model, not a curated record